UAAUAAUUUUUUCCAGGAAUAACCCGGGCUUUUUUCAGGCUGGAUAAAUUCCAGCUCAAGUAAUUACACUUUGCCUUCCUCAAUUCCUCCAAAGGUCUAAUGAAUUCAGGCACUCUUAGCAUAACAUUAUUACAUGCUGCUACUGUACAUGGCUAAACAGCUGUUGUACUUCCCCCCAGUGACAAAUACAUUUCAGCAGUGCGUGAGCUGAUUCCCUUACAUCUCUCUGCUGGGGUGUGCCAGAACGAUUCCAAUGCUCACAGUCCUCCAAGAAAAAGCACACUGGUUACCCGUACUUUUAUCAUGGUCUUGCUAGUCUUGCUCAUCAUUCUUUGUGUUACUGGUUAAAUUCACUUCUAGAUCUUGAACUACCAUAGGUGGGAAAGUCUCAGAGCAAAGCACAGCAUGUUGCCAGAGGUGCCAGGUGCACUGGCAGGCUUUACUCACAUGGCAUAUGUUCUGAAUACCUGAAAGGGCAACCCCCACUGAGGUAAUUAGUUACAUCUGUGUUGCUUGACAGACCUGUGACACCUAUGUUGGCUGGUGUCCAUCUAUAGUGAAAGAAAAGUUUAAAAAUCUAUAGUUACUGGAGAUGGGAAGUUCAUAGCUACAGUACUGCCUAUUCUGCUUUACCUUUUGAAAGCAUUUUAGCCUCUGGUUUUUUGACUAGGUGUCAGUCCAAUCAUUGCAGCAGGAGCAUGUUGCUUUGAUGCCACCAGUUCCCAGUUCUAAUAAUCUAGUGUGACUCCUGAGGUUUGCAAAAUCAGCUGCAGCGCUUAUGCCUGACCCCUGUUGUCAGACUGGAGCCAGAUGUCCCAUUAGAGUCUCACAGAAUAGAGGGCUUUCCAGGCCUUGUUCAGCUUCAGAAAUCUUGCCCUUUUCUUAACCAUGGGGAUAGUGAGGAUGUUUCAAUGUCAGGGUUGAAAGCAACAGCCUCUUUCUUCUGUAGUUCAAACAGCUGAAAAGCAAUCUGAUGCCCAAAUGUGAUGCCAGGCUACAUCAUCUACGUGGGGGGACCUGUGCCCUGCUGGGGCAGCAGCUGACAGCAGGAGGGCUACAGAGAGAGUGAGUCUCAAGAAAAUAAAGAUGAACAUGACAAGGAUCAGAAGGGAAGGUUCUCUACCAUGUGCUUUGCUGUUUGACCUUCAAGGAUCCUUUUGGACAUGCUGUAGGAUUUCCAGUCAUAUGCGUUAACUCCCGUCAUCUGCACUCAGGUCAGCCAGAUACAGUGGGCACAAUUUUUUUGUGGAGCUGCUGUGAGAUGGGAUUAUCCACACUUCUGUAUCUUCUGCACCUGUGGAUGCAUUUAUCUUUCAGCCCACAAGGGGCUCAGUUGAUCUUCUUGCAUUGCUUGAGGGAUAGGAUUUCAGUUGGCAGCUUCUGGGUCAGGCUAGCUUUGGCAUGUGGAGUAGCUCUGGGAAGGAGAUGGUUUAGCUCUGAGUGUCCUGCGUCAGUCUGUCUCUGAUGUCCAUUAGGGUUUCACUGAGUGCUAAUUUACAGCUUCCUUCCUGCAUGGAUGGCAGCUGUCAUCCUACCAGACCCCUCUUCCGACUGUGACACUGACAUCCUCGGUCCAUGACAUGAAGAACUGGAAAAAGGCUGCAGCAGGGAGGUGGUGUGUGCGUGGCCACCAGAGAGCCUGCCUUUCCUGCACGUGCUUCCAGAGUCAGCCAGCUCACAUUUCAACUGAACUCAGUCUGGAGGUGGACAUAUUCAGCACACAUCCUUCCUGGGGAAAGGCUGUCAUCCCUGAGACACUGUUUCCUCCAAGCACAUUGACUUCCAAGUGGUAUGGCGUGUAGAGAGCAAGUUAAAGCAUUAGAAAAAAAGGUUUGGUUUCACAUGUGUUACUGGGCAAAUUGACAUUCUCCAGAGGAGAAUGUAAAUGAGAAUUGGAAUGGUAAAAAAAUGGAAAAAACUCAUGGGUUGAGAUAAAGACAGUUUAAUAGGGAAAGUAAAAGUCACACACAAAGCAAAAUGAGGAAUUUGUUCACUGCUUCCCAUGGGCAGGCAGUAACAGAAACAUCCCUGUGUUAUCAACCCUGUGUUCAGCACAAAUCCAAAACAUAGCCCCAUACUAGCUACUAUGGAGAAAAUGAACUCUAUCCCAGCCAAAUCCAGCACAGAGGCCACACUCUUCUCCUCAGCUUUAGGCGCCUGCAUAAAUGUUGACAAAGUUUUGCACAUAACCUGAAGCAUUUUUAGAGGAGGUGCCUCAUGUGAUCUGGAGUGCUGUCCAUCUCUGGUGCCUCCAUACAGUGUCAAUCUCAUUCAAAAUAGGCUUCAAGGUUAUACCUGCUGGCCCCCUUCCCCUACCAGCACCCAUCCCAGCAGGGGUAGUAGUCAGGGUCUUUCUCUGCCAAGAAGAAGGGGAGUAAGGAGCUGAUGCUGCACUACUCCAGUGCUUGGGGUUGAUGCCAGACAAAAGGUAGCUGGUGCCCAGGCAAACAGCUGAAGGCUUAGUUUUGCAUUACGGGCUGCUCAGACAGAGCUUUAUUUGCUCUUUAGCUUAUGCCAAAUAGGGAAUUCCUCUGGGGAGUAGACACUCAAACUAAUGUUUGCCCCUGGGCUGAGGAUGUGGGGACAUUAAAUCGCCAGUUUCAGGACGACCUUGUGCCUCUGCGUAAUAGUCACAGAGAUCAGUGGAGAUGCAGCUCCCCUCCUCCUCUUCCUCAGCUUUCCUACUCUGUUGUCUCAGUUUCUUCAUCACCCUCUCCUCUUCACCCUUCUCCUUAGUCUGCACAGAUCCAUAUGGCUUUAACAGAAUAUCAUUAACCUGCAGCACUACAGAAGGCUGGUGCUUUCUUAAAAACCUGCCACUGUCUAUUUUUACCCUCUCUGAAGUACAGGCGCCUCAGACCAAGCUGAGGGGGCUGACCUGCUGCUGUGAACUGAUCUUGACUGCUCUAUCCCUGCACAAGUCUUAUCCUGCUGGUGCUUCAGAGAUGCCUUGGACUCCAGGUUGUAUCUUUUCAAACUGUGGUCCCUUAAGAAAUUUGUACAAUACCCUGCCUAAAAUGGGUAGGAGGAAACUUGCCUUUUCAGAUAUGUAUAUGCAAAUGAGGAUGCUGUGAAAUUUGAAUAAGAGUAUGUGGUUUUGCUCUGUUUCUAUAUUUCAAAUUCCCUUCUUGCCCCAUCCUCAUUUAUUUUUUCUCCUGGUUUCACAAAUGUUGUGAGAAAUGAGCUAAUUUGCCUUUACGACACAACGUGGUACAACACAGGUGUACUUGUACACCCUCCCCAGUUCAUUGUAAGUUUGUGUUGUUCACAUGCCUUUUUAAGCAAGAGUCUGAUAAAAGUUUGUAUCAUUAAAAAAAAAAAGGACUCUCCUUUUUUUGUUUCCCUCAAUCUAAGUUGUAUUUUCCUCAUUUAAUGUCUGGAUAAGCAAAUAUUCAUUGCUUUCAUUUCAUGUAGUUGCUUUCUAUUCAAUGAUAAUGAUAUAUUUUCAUGUAGUACUAUGGUAUAUAAGUUGGGAUGAAGGGAGUGUAGAUUGUUUUCUCUUGCAGGCUGAUUGCAAACCUUCUCAACAUUUACCAGUCAUUCUACUGGCAGCCAGUUUAAUCACAUAUUCAUGGUAAGGGAAAGCACAUUGGGCUUCAAAGAUACUUAGAAACUGCCUUUUUGUGAAUGUCAAGUUAUUUUGCCUCAGAAUUAAAAAAAAAAGUCUUAACACUAUGAGAUCCAGCUGGACACCCAACUUUCCAAACUCCAGGAAUGCUAACAUUAAAAUUUGAAGUUAAAUGAAAACCAAAUCUUUAAACCUUAUGAAAUCAUCAAGUUUCAUCUUGAAAGCUAUCUCAAAUGUCUGAAGUUCAAAACUUGCGGAUUGUACUGGUGUGACUGAAAAACUUUUUUUUUGCAGCAGCAGAUUUUCGCUUCAGUGUUCAAACUCUGGAGCAGAGGAACAUAGGGCAUAGUACCAGAUUUGGGCAUUUUAUAUAUCCUCUAGUGAAAAUUGCUUAUAUAACUUGAACACGCAGUUCAUGCCUUGCAGUAUCAUCCUGACUCUGAGGACUCACCAUGGUUGCUGGCUCCCAAAACCAGGCUGUUCCAUAUCGGCUGUUUAAAUGUCUAAAGUACAUUUAUUAAAAAAAAAAAAAAAUUACAUGGGCAGGUGGUUGCUUACCUAGAAAUAACUCUGUGUUUACAGAAAGCCAUGGUUUGAGGGACCUUAUAACUUACUACAAUUUAUUUCUUUCAUGAGCUGGUAGGUACAAAAAAGGCUUCUUUUUCUUCUUUCUCCAGCUGCAACAUAAUGAAGUGGCACACAUCAAAAUCUGCAUUUCCACUGCAUAUAAGGAGCAAGCUUUGCUGUACACAGGGCUCAGCUGUCAUGGAAGAAAGACAGGAUUGAAGUGACCACACACCGUUUUUUAUUCUCUCCCUCACAAUCUCUGCUGGAUCUGGUGCAUUCUUUUUAUAAGAAACUGCUAUUACAGUAGGGUGUCACUUCAAUCCCUGUUCACAGAUGUUACUUCAUAGGUUUUGGUUGUUUUUUUUUUUCACCAUGAGAUAAUUAAAACAUAAGAACAGACAAUUUUGGGAUGGUUAAGUAAAGCCUUUGAGCUCUUUGUACUUCUGUACAAAUUUCCAGGUAAAUUUUUCAGUGCAGAAAUCUGUUCUUGCCUAGGGGUCAUACUCCAGUUCCUGCAGUCCCUGGGUCAGAGUGCUUUUUCUGACUUCAUCCCACCAGGGAAAGCAUGGGUUGUCUCAGUAGUGUUCAUGCCUGCCAUGAAUCUCUUAUUCCAAGGUCCCAUGUUUCUACACUUAGGGCUGUGGGCUCUGAAUAUAUUGUAAUGAAGGACCUGAAGCUGCCUAGGAUCACAAAGUGAUGCCUUGUAAGCUUUGAAAUGCCUCCCAAAGGGUACUACAAGGAUCCUUGUAAGUACUGUCCUGCUACUGUCCCCCUGAGCAGGAUGGAGUCAUCUCUGGUUUUAUUGCUCUCCUUUUGAGGCAAUAGGUACAGUCAUUGUGUGGAAAGGCUGGAAGCUGUGAUCUUAUGACCUAAAAGGACAAUCUGCAUGAAAUUCUUGAAAGUUUUUCCCAAAGAACUCCUCAAGACCAGCGUGUAAUUUUGGAAAGAUUCAGUCCCUUCUGUCAUGGUGUGACUCAGGCUUCAAGAUGCUUUGCAGCAGCAAUGGCCCGACUAGCCAAAUGAGUAAAUGGGAGUUUUUCUCUGAACAAUGGAGCUCAUCUGAUAAUUUUGAAGCAUUUGGACAGUUUUGUUGCAAGUUGCUGUUUUCAAGCUCAGUGGGAGGAUAUAAAAUACAUGACUGAUACAUAACUCUUAGCAUGAGGCACCAGAAACAAGUCAAGAAGGCAAAAUGGAGAGCUAACUUGCUGGUUAUACUUCACAUGCCAAAUGUUCUUCUCAAAACUGGAAGGCAUUAGACAUGAAUGGUCUUGGCUUUGUGUCUGCUGAGCUAAUGGUGUCAGGAAAGCGAGUCAAACUUUAGCUGGUGAAGAUGGACUUGUUUUCUCAGGGGAGGACUGUGGUUGGUUGCUAGCUCUCAGAAUGCUUGUGAGCACAGAAAACUUUCUUACCAGCUCAUCUCUUCAGCUCCUGCUCAGGCACUUCCACAUGCUGCAAAAUGUAUUGAGCACCCAUAGUUACAUCUGAAAAAUGUCAACAGAGGACACAAAAUGCGUUUUCCUGUGUUUGAGAGCCUUUUUAGUAAUUUGGAGUGGCAGCAGGAUGACUGCAGCUGAUGCAAAAGGAAAAGUGUCUGUGGCAGAGCCCUCCACUUCUCUUUCUAUCUCAUUUGAAUGUGAAUAGCCAUUUCAAAAACUGCAACUUCCUUUUAGUGACAAGCUCAUUUAGUGUCGCUGUUCAAUUGGACCAUGUACUGACAUGCAGAAAUUUGAAUUAAAGGGAGAAAACACUUUUUACUACUAAGGAAAAUGACUACAGGACUCCUCCAGCCUUCACUCUGCAUCCUCGGAGACAACACCAAGCUCCUGUGGCCAGUGCCCAGGGCAGUCCCUGGGCCAGGAAGCCGCUCUCCCGCUGCCCGUAGAGAACGAAGCCCCAAGAGAGCAUCACCACGGCAGCCAGCGCCUGCGGGACAAAGCGCAUCGCGCGCUGGCGGCGACACUGCCGGAGUCUCCCCCCGCUUUUACCCACCAGCGUCCGCUGCCUCCACCGAGAGGUGCUCCCAGCCCUGCUUCCCCCGGACACAGGGCAGGACAUCUGCCGCCGCCCGCUCCUGAGCUCGCCCCAGGCGGCACAGGGCGCUCUGUCCCUCCGCCCCGGCGGUGCCACCGCAGCCCCGCCCCGGCCCGCGCUCAGCGGAGGCUCCGCCCCGGAACACGUCAUCGCCGGGCGCGGAUAUGACGGGGCGGCGGCGGCGCCUCUGUCCCGGCGGGGCUCGGCGCUGCUCCGCGCCUCGGGAGGAGCAGUUCCCGUGGCAACGCCGCCCAUGGCGGACCCGUCCCGGCGCCUGGCGGAGGCCGCCCGCCGCCGCCGCCGCCCGCCGGGGGAGGAGCGGCGGGAGCCUCCUGGCGCCGGGCGCUGCCGGACCCGCCACAGGCUGAAGGCGGCCGCGGCACUGGCCCGCGCGGGGAGCGAGGGACCGGCGGCGAACAUGACUUCAGUAGAUAAAGAGUUUGCAGAAGACAGCAACUUUGCACCAAAAGCCAGCACCAGCAAGCUGCCAACAGAUGCAUCUCCUGACUCCAAAUGCCCCAUCUGCCUGGAUAGAUUUGACAAUGUUGCGUAUCUAGAUCGCUGCUUGCAUAGGUUCUGCUUCCGCUGUGUCCAGGAGUGGUCAAAAAACAAAGCAGAAUGCCCCCUCUGCAAGCAACCGUUUUUUUCCAUUUUCCAUACAAUUCGUGCUGAAGAUGACUUUAAGGAGUAUGUACUCAGCCCUUUAGAAAACAGCUCUUUUGCCAGCCCCGAUGGCCGGAGAUUUCGUUACCGUACUACCUUAACAAGGGAACGCCGCAAUCGCAGUUCCCCUUCCCGAAGGAUGCUGUCCCCUCCGGAUAAUGGGAUGUUGUUUGAAGGGUUGUCAAGCGAACCAGUGCGUCACAGACACCGAGAGAUUCAUCAGAUGAUGAGGAGGCUGGCCUCAAGGAGGCAGGCUAGCGCAGAGGGCAGAUCUCUGCGGCAGAUUCAGGAGGAGGACAUGAUCAACUUCCGCAGAGCCCUCUACCGUACUGGUGUGCGUAUCCGCGGCAUUCAGGAUGGCGGCCGCUAUCGAGACAUCUCCGCAGAGUUUUUCCGCCGCAACCCUGCCUGCCUUCACCGGUUGGUUCCUUGGUUGAAGCGAGAACUUACAGUCCUGUUUGGUGCCCAUGGAUCUUUGAUUAAUAUUGUACAGCACAUAAUCAUGAGUAACGUGACUAGGUAUGAUCUCGAAAGUCAGGCCUUUGCUGAUGAUUUAAAGCCAUUUUUGCUGAAUCGGACAGAACACUUCCUGCAUGAAUUCAUCAGUUUUGCUCGUUGUCCUUUUAACUUAGAAGCAUAUGAUCAACAUGCCAAUUAUGAUUGUCCUGCACCAUCAUAUGAGGAAGGAAGCCAUUCAGACUCAUCAAUUAUUACAAUAUCUCCAGAUGUGGCAUAUUCUCAAGGGCCAGAUAACAGUUCGUCUGUGCCUGGUCUUGGUCAGGCCCCCUGGGAUGAUGAAACUCCAGGGCCUUCCUAUUCCGUUUCAGAAGAGGUUCGUGCAACCAUAGCUUCUCCUCUGGAGUCAUCAGAAAGUUCUGAUGAGGACUCUGCUACAGGGAGUCAAAGAACCAAACUGCAGACUCAGUUACAGGCUAAUGUUGACUCAAAUGACAGUGGCUCUUCCUCGGACAAUUGUGUCAUUGUUGGGUAUGUAAAGCCAUUAGCUGAGAGGACACCAGAAGUGGUUGAACUGUCCUCAGACUCUGAGGAAUCCAUCAGGGAAGAGAAAAGGGAGGAUGUCAAGAAACAGCGUCCAGUCCAGUGUCACAGCUGGAGUGACAGUGAACGAAGCAGGAGCUUCUCGCCGUGUUCCCCAACGUAUAAGGAAGAUGCAGGUAGUUGUAGAAGCUGUUUAUCUCCUACAGUUGAGAAGACAGAGUCAAAAGAAGAUGUGAAGAAAAAAUGUAAGGGAAAAGAUCUGCCUCCACGGGACUUGAGCUGGAGCCCCUCUCCAGGGAGUGACACAGUGUGUUCCCCUUGGAAUCACAGGAAGGGAAAGUCUAGAAGCCCACAGUCCUGUUCACGGAGCAGUCGAGGCAGUCAUGGCCAUCGGUCUAGGAGGGAGCACCAUAGCAAAAGCCAACUUAAAAGGAGACGAUCAAGAAGCAGAGAUAGCAGCAAACACAGGAGCAAAAGAAGCAGUAGAAGGUCGAGGGCUCGUGACAACAGAGCCUCUCUGAAAAGCCAGAGGGGCUCUCUGAGUGGUGAGAGCACUCCAUCCAGAGAAUUAAGCAGAUCACGAUCAUGUAGCAAAGGCUACAGUAAAAGGAGAUCAAGAAGUAGAGACAGUGAUCGGUAUUAUGUAAGAGACAGUUAUCAAAGUAGACAUCAGUGGGGUUCUGCUUUCUGUAGUAGAAAGGUGUUUGGGGAUAGCUAUGAAUCCUCCAGUAGGAGGAGGACACGAUCUAAUACUCUCUAUUCGAGGCAAUCUGCUAGUCCAGAAUACAGGAUACGGUCAUUUAUUGAAAGGACAGACCUGCAUAGCCAGAGGGGACUCCAUGAGAGACACUAUUAUUGUUAUGAAAGAUGCAGGUCAAGGAGUCGGUCGAGCAACAGGUCAAGGACUCCUUCUGGAGGAACUGACAGAAUGAAAAGCGAAAAGCCUGGUGGAAAAAGGAAGUACAAAACUCGCCACCUGGAGAAUGCAUUCAUGGAGAGCAUAAGUCUAGAAAGAGAAAAUGACCCCAAGAAAACUUCCUCAAAAUUCAGUGACUGCUGCAAAAAUGAAGAUAGCCCAUCAGACAAUCGAGCAAGUAAUGAGACAAAGCGUAAAAAAAGGAAAAAGAAGUUGAGGAGUCCAAGUGUGGAGAUAGUCUACGAGGGAAAAGCAACAGACACAACGAGGCAUCUUAAAAAAAAAAAGAAAAAGCAUAAGAAGAAACACAGGAAACAUCACAUCAGUAACUCAGCACAUUCUUCUCCAGUGGUGAUUACAAUUGAUAGUGACAGUAGCAAGGAGCCAGAAAGUACUGAAUGGGACACCAGUAUUACAUGGACAGGCACAACUCUGAAAAAUGAGGGGGAAAAUGAGUCUCCAUCUUCUUUCCUGAGGACAAGAUGUGAGGAAACUGGAGAAGCAGACAAAAAGUACAGUAUCCCUUCCACAAGGGAAGACUUAGAUGGUGACAUUAGAAAUGCUGAUGUCAAACUUCAAGGAACAGCAGCUGAUCAGAGUGUUAUCACAGCAGAUGCCAGCAGUAACACCUCUCACACAGAAACUGUAACCAGCUAUGUUCAGGAAGCACCAGCAGCGCCUUCCAGUCAACUAUCUUCCCCCAGGAUUUCCUUCCCAGAGCAUCCAGAGAGACAACCAUUGAUACUAAGACUGCCAAAGAGACUUGUCAACAAAUCCUCUUGGUUUGGUUUCCCAGAAGAAAAAAUGUAGCACACUUUCCACGGAACAUUUCUUGAAAUUGUGAAUUUAACUACUUUUUUUUUUUUUCCCCUUAAGAACUAAAAUAUCGGGUAGGAUUUCUCUCUGUUAAAAGAUGUCUGGGAAAUGUGUAAAACCUUUGAAUGUGUAUGCACUUUUGAGUCGAAGAAGAUAGAGUAUUGCUAGUAUGUAACUUUAAAAGUUUUUUUUUGGAAGACUGUUUAGAAAUUGUAAUUUUAUAAAGCCAUCCACAGUAUUUCAAAGUUUUGCUUAAACCAAAUGAUAGAAAAGGAGCCCAAACCAAAAGCCAGAAAAUUAAUUUUAUGGGGAUUGCCCUUCUUAGACAAGGGAAAAAAUGUUUGGUUCAUAAGAAAUUAUUCAGUCUGAAUUCCAGCAUCAUUUCAAUUUCUUUGGUUUAAGCUGAUCUCUGCUGAAAAGUAGUCAGUGAUUUCUACAGAGAUCCUCAGAGGACUUCUAGUAAUUUCAAGGUGAUGUUCCUUUGUGAUGGGUAAUUUCCAGCACUGCUUCUUCAGUUGUCACAGGUGAAAACUCAGCAGGAAUCACACAGAUAAUUAAAUACAGUGGAUCAUCACAAGCUCGUGAUCAAGCUGUCUUCAGGCUUAUUGAUUGCUACAGAGCAGUGGUGGAAAACAAUACUGGUGUACAAUUCAAAGGAAAACAGCCGGCACCACAACAAAGAUUACCAAAGAACAAAUCGAUGUCACAAAAUACCCUUACCAUGUCCUGUAGUGAAAUAGGUGAAUAAUGAUGCCAUCUCCUACACAGCACUAAGCAGACAUGUUGAAAAUAGUAUGCAGCAUAGUACCUGUCUUGUAACCACCGCUACCAGAGAGAUGGUUUCUUAUAAAGACACCUCAUUGUCACCAAUUAGAUUAUCAUUAUCAGUGCCACUUCCACAUAUAUUUCCUCCAGCAAUAGUAAUGUAAUUGAAAAAAUGAAAUUUAGCCUUUGCCCAUGUAGAACUACUCUGUAAUAGCAAAUCAGUUGUUCUAACUAAUUAUGCUGAGCCAGAGCCCUGACAUCUUUAGCACACUUUCUGGGCGUGCUUUCUCCUCACCCCAUGUCAGGCUGCUGGAUUUCUAAAUUCAAAGAACAUAUAUGUUGUUUGGAGGGAAUAUGGGUGAGGUGUGAGUAUAUAGGAGGGUGUAGAAGUAGUGUUGAGGAAUACAUUUGGUGCAGGUGGCUCGAUGUGCAACCUACAGAUUGAGCUCUUGGGGGCAGGAGCCCCAGCUCAAGCUCCAGGCGAGAAAGAGGUGGUGAACUGCUUACCCUUUGCUUAACAAAGGGCACAGGGACCGAGGGACCAGACACUCAGAGACACAGCAGGAGCCAAGGACCCCUAGACUUUCCCAUCAUUAGAGUGUGAGGGUGUAAAAGCCCAGGGUUUCCUUUGUUCAGAGUCCCUUCUGAGAGGCACCAGCUCAAGGUGUUAGUUUGUUACUUAGUUAUUGUACCAUGAUUAAAUUAUUUUAAGGAUCUAGUCGCCUGUGACUCUGCUAUGGGAAACCUGAGGUCGAGCUGUUAAGGAAACUGGUCUGGGUGUGUGAGUAUGGGGAGUGUAGCUGGGGGGGACCUGGGUCCCAGCUCAAGGUGUGAGAGUGACUGGCUGAGUGGCUUCUGGAUGAUUGAACAGAGAAGUUUCCUUAACGGUGGGAAGGAAUAUUUCUUUCCUUACACACAGCAUGGGACAAUGAGAUGAAUUUACAUACCUCUCCUUCCUAAAAAAGGUGUCCUAGGGAGCUAAGAGUUUUAUAAAUUUAAGUGGAUUUAGGAUGACUGAUGGCCUUGUGUUUAACUGACUGCCUUGGCCUAUUUCCCCUAUUCAAGUUUGUCACUUGAAUAUUGUGCUAUUUAGUGUGAUUCUAGAUGGAUAUGGAUGUCUAGACUUUUAGCUGAGUAGAAGUUAUAUACAUAUCAUGGAAGAUCUGGGCUUCUUCAUUAGAAGAAUUGACUUGUUACAGCCAUCUUUUGGCAUCCCAGAGUUUGAGAUAAAGAAUAGACACCAGCAGCAAAGCUCAGCUUCUUGUCAGGAGAUCGUAGGCUCUUCUGCAUGUUCUGUGUACAUAGAGUACUUAAGUGGUGAUCUUAAAAACAUAAAAAAACAGUUCAUAGUCUAAUCUCUGAUGGUUCCUAGAAGUGGUCACCCAGUCUCCACAGAUGCUAAAAUAGAAUUGGUUAUCUGAGAGUAAUGCAAGAAUGAGGAAAAUUUAUGGUAUCCUGGGCAUCUACAGCACAAGAGCAUCCCAAACCAGCAUUAUGAAAUCAAAUAGGUGAAUAACUGUUGUAAGAUACAUCACCCUGCCUGGGCUGUUUGUUUUUAGUAGUAUUUUGCAGCUAAAACCCACACACAGUUAUGUAGAUGCAUUUGUUUACACUUAAUCAAGUUGUUCCUGAAGGGACAGUGGAGGUCUUGCAUGGAACACCUUCUUCCCUGUUGAAACAUCAUAAAGAAGCUCAUAAAUAAUAAAUUUUAUCAAUGAUUAGCAGCAUCUCUACAAAUGCCUAAGAGCUAUAGAGCUGACAUUUUCCCUCUGCUGUCUCUUCUCCUAUUUAUUAAACCUUUUCUCCUUUUAGCACCUUUUCCAUUUAUUUUUCUGCAUGUACCCUAAACUUCUCCAAUAUUUGAUAGAUAGGGCAACAUGGAGAGAGCAUGAACUGUGUGAAGGUAAUGUCAGAGCCCUGAGGGCAUUGCGUUCCAGGCCUCUCCCUGUGUCUCCUCUAUCCUCACACACUGCAGCCCUGUAGUCUGGGGUUGUGCUGCUGCUGGCAGAGGUGUCAGGGGCUGUGCUUGGGCCCUCCCCAGCACGUGGGAGCUGUGCAUCAGCUCAAUCCCUCUGUUUUGUCCUUGUGCCCAAGCUGCCUGGCUCCUCUGCCAAGCAGCCAGCUCUUGCCGAUUGCCAGUAUUUCGUGGAGAUGCAAACUGGUUGAGCUUCCAGUUACCUGAGCUUUGUGCUACCUGCCUUGAGUCUGGCUGUGUCCUGCUCGAGUUCCAGCUCCUGAAGUACUAUAUUGUCAGUGCUACUAAACAUUGGUCUAAGAGGAGAAGCUAGAAUACUGUCAUGAGAAGGUUUUGUGUCAGCCCUGCCAUGCUUUCAGGUUGUCAUUCUGUGCAGCCCUUGACUAAAAUGGCCAGGGAAGCAAAUGUCUCCACAAUGGUGGAUAAUUGAAAGGUCUUUUUCUUUGAAUUGUGUGGAAUUUCAUAGCAUUUUUGUAAGUAAUUUUCUUCUCUUUUAGUAUCUUAUGUGAUGUUUGCACAGCACAAGAUAAAAAUGUAUCCUCUGUCCUCACACCUCCUUCUGCUGGAUGGACACAGACAUAGGGACUUGAUUACCUUUAUAUGUAGUUUUUAUCUCCAUCUCCUCCUCUUAAGCCUUCUCAUGUUUCUUGGUUCCAGUACAUCCUCUGCAUGAUUAACUGAUCCAUCUUCAUCAGUUUUCCAUCUGAUUAAAGUAUUGUCACACUGUAUAAAUACAGUGCUUACUGGACAAUAUCAUUUUAAGAGGUAUUACAUAUUGCACAUUCUGGAUUCAUAAUAGCUGCUUUUUAUUACCAGCAGUAUUAAUCUUUAAUCUGCUUGGCUGCUUUUCUUUCAGGAAAGCAAGAAACAGAUCUGAGAAUUUUAUCUCCAGUACAGUUUUGAUCUUCUUGCUUCCAGUCUGUGGUUAUUAUUUGUGCAGUCUGGGUAUGUGACUAGCGAGUUCUGGUGAACUAGUUGUUUGGGAUGUUGUAGAUGGCUUUGAAAUACACUUUGUAUGCCUUGGAGUGUACUGGUGUGCACAUUUCCAAGCCUUUCUAGGAGUAUUUUGAUUUCUGACUCAGGUCUUCAUGGUCAUGAACUAGUGACUGGUGAAUGAUUUGUCUUUUGAUUGUGCUGAAGUCAUGAACAGAGCCAGCCAGAGGCUGGCAAUUCUGUUUACCAGCAAGAAGUUUCCAAGUUUGGGUUUUCCACAUAUUUGAGCAAAACAGUGACUUUUUGCAAGGCCUUCAUCUGUCUGAACUCUUCAGCUGUGCAGCGAUGCAGAAAGUACCUCUUCUUUUGCCAAAGGGGUACAUAUCUAAUACUAAAACUGUUUUUUUCCUGGUCUGUCUAAGCCUCCAUUGGAAGUGUCUGGACAAUGCUCUCAAACACAUGCUAUGAUUCUUGGGGUUGUCUUGUGCAGGGCCAGGAUACUUGUAGGUCCCUUCCAACUCAGGAUAGUCUAUGAUUUUGUGACUUCCAAAUCCACAUCUCACAGCGCAGGAAAGGAGAAAGGUGAUCUGAUUUCUUAGCCAAGCCGUGACAGCCUGCAUUCAGGAGGAGAGGCUGGGAGACUGAUUUUUAGCAGGGACUCAGUGGCACCAUCUCCAGUCCAGCCCUGACUCAAGCUGCCAGUCAACCUGGACUGAGUUGAGAAGAAACUCUCAUCCCAAAUUUCUUGUAUGCAAGCAGUUAAGUUCAUGUCUCCCCUAAGGUUUUCCAUGGGAUUAUAAAGCUAUGGCUUUGCCUCCUCCUUCAAGACUGCAUCUCUGCUUACAUCACAGCUUCUCUGAAGCUUGAAUUACUUUGAAAAUAGUCUUUCUAGUUCUGAUCACUCUUAAAAAUGUAAACAAGCAGGAGUGUCAUCUGCUGAAACAAAAGUCAGCCAGCCUUCGCUUCUCAGCUUUUGCUGCCCUAUCUGUUACGCCUGUCACAACAAGUUGUCAGACUGUCACAAUAAAUGGCACAAGUUUAGGAUGUUUUGUUUAGCCUUUGUAUGAAAUACUUUCGAGCACAUUGUAGUAGAGGAGUAUAAUUAAAGUAUAGCAAAUUAAUUCUGAAAGAGGGUAAUAAGCUACAUGGUAGUUUAAAAUUGUUAUAACAGUAUUUUCUCUUUAGUUUUUGGUUACUUGGAAGGACUGUAAAUUGUCAUAGGUUAUUGCAGUUGGGAAUACUGAAGAAAUAAAUAUUGAUUAGAAACUUAGUGCUUGAAAGCCAGCAAACUAAGAAUGUGAAGAUUUUACUUACUUACUUAAAUUACUAAAUUGAUAAUUACUGCUCUUAUGCAAGUCAAGAUAGUGCAGCCUACCAAAUAUUCACCCCAUUAGAGGAAGAAAACCUGGUGUCUGUUCCAAGAAAUAAAAAUGCCUAACCAUUUUUAAAAAUUAGUAUAUUUUCCAUUAAGUAUUCCUCUUCUGUCUGAUUUUCCACAGAAACCUGUCAUUUUUCUUUCCCUUCUUUUUUAUAUCCUGGAGUAGUCUCGGAGCAGAGAUGUAAUUUUGAUUUGAGUUCUCACUACUCUUACAGAUGCUGAUGUGUCUGUGGCCCUUUUUAAGGUCUGUCACCAUUUAUCUGACCUAACUCUACUGCCAUCCCUUGUGCGCUUUGACAUCACUCAGCACUGUCAGGAUCAAACUCUUCUAAAGCCAUACUGUUCAAACCCACCUUCAUCUCCCAAAUCAUCACCAUCAGCAGCAUGGGCCACUUGUCAUUCAGAUCUAUGACCUUGGUCAGCCUGGAUCCUUCCUCAUCUUGGACCAUAGUUACCUCUUGUUCCAGACAAAUGCUUUCAGAGGGACUAUCCUUUCCUAUGCAGAGGACUUCCCAUCCAUGUCCUUCGAUUUCUCUGUCUUGACGUCCUUAUACAAAGACAUAGAUAUUCACAGAGCUCUGUGGCUGUGCAUUGUGUCCAAGCAGUGUUCAGAGCUCCCAUGAAAUCUCCUGUUUCCUUCUUCCCUAUUAGUUUUCUCUAUUAGUCUUUUCCCCACUCCAUACUUUCUUCCUACGACCAGCACUACCAAAUAUAUAGACAUGACAAGGCAGAAUAGCAAUCUAAAUGUUUAGAUUAUAAUUUUUUACAUUAAAUUAAAUUUAAUCUUUGAAUGUAUUUCCCUUUGGUGUUUUGGUUUUCUUUUUCUAAUCUCUGUUAUUUUUAACUAAAGUUGUUCAUUUACGGAAUUGCAGAAUUGCUGUGAUUUGUGGGCACCUCUGAGAUCAUCUAAAUGAUCCAUCAAAGCACGGUCUAUUGCAGCAGGUUGCCCAGGACCAUGACCAGUCAGGAUUUUCAAAGCUCCAGGAAUGAAGUCUUCAGAACCUCUCGGAGCUCAACUGCUUGACCACCCUCACCACAAAAGUGUGUUUUUUUUAAAUGUUUAAGUGGUGUUUAUUUUGAUUCAGUUUGUGUUCUUUGCCUCUUCUCUGCUCACUGGAUACCCUUCUUCUUCUGUCUUUGUUACCCCUGUGUGGUUUAUAUACACAUGUGUACAUGUAUAAUCCUCCCUUCAUACACACCCCCCUCCCCUUCUCCAGAGAGAACAACUGCAGCUCUCUGAGCCUCUCCUGACAGACAAGUUAGCUAAGUUAUUGCACAAGAAUGUAUAUGAUUCUGAAAUUAUAUUGACCCAAAGCACAGAAGAUCCCUGCUCAGCCAAGCUGGCCUUCUGCCUUACCUGAUUGACUUCUCACAUUUGGGAAUUGCUGCUUCUGUACCUAAACGAGGUGAUGUUUGAAAAGCACUGAUGGACCCCAGCACCUGCAAAAACAUUUUCCCAGGGGACCUUGCUUACUAAUUUCCUGAGCGACCUGAAUGAAUGUGCUCUCCUUGUGUCCAAAGCUGAUGUUUUGAUGGCACUUUUCCUCCUGUCAACAGAGGUUUUAAACUUGAUCACUUCAGUGGUGCGAAGGGGCACCAGAGUAAAUCAGUCGUGUUGAAGAAUGAGGGGAUAAUCUAUCUGGAUAUCAGUGCAGAUUGUUUUGGAUUAGGACCCCUCUGUUUAAAUAAAAUUGUUGCCAUUUCUGAAAUUUGAA
Molecule: RNA transcript, 16326 nt
Organism: Pseudopipra pipra
Lineage: Eukaryota; Metazoa; Chordata; Aves; Passeriformes; Pipridae
Gene: TOPORS
Gene name: TOP1 binding arginine/serine rich protein, E3 ubiquitin ligase
Exons: 13
Source: RefSeq, a predicted model, not a curated record